Molecule: ribosomal RNA, 449 nt
Filed under: uncultured bacterium
Lineage: Bacteria
Description: SSU rRNA
Rfam family: Bacterial small subunit ribosomal RNA
Source: RNAcentral
AGAACGAACGCUGGCGGCAGGCUUAACACAUGCAAGUCGAACGCGUGUAGCAAUACACGAGUGGCGCACGGGUGAGUAACGCGUGGAUAUCUGCCUUUUGGUUCGGAAUAACCCCGGGAAACUGGGGCUAAUACCGGAUGGUUCCUACGGGAUAAAGAUUUAUCGCCAAAAGAUGAGUCCGCGUACGAUUAGCUAGUUGGUGAGGUAAUGGCUCACCAAGGCGACGAUCGUUAGCUGGUCUGAGAGGACGAUCAGCCACACUGGGACUGAGACACGGCCCAGACUCCUACGGGAGGCAGCAGUGGGGAAUAUUGGACAAUGGGGGCAACCCUGAUCCAGCCAUGCCGCGUGAGUGAUGAAGGCCUUCGGGUUGUAAAGCUCGUUUUGGCGGGGACGAUGAUGACGGUACCCGCAGAAUAAGCCCCGGCUAACUUCGUGCCAGCAGCCGC